UGGGGAAUAUUGGACAAUGGGCGCAAGCCUGAUCCAGCCAUGCCGCGUGAGUGAUGAAGGCCUUGGGGUUGUAAAGCUCUUUUGUCCGGGAAGAUAAUGACUGUACCGGAAGAAUAAGCCCCGGCUAACUUCGUGCCAGCAGCCGCGGUAAUACGAAGGGGGCUAGCGUUGCUCGGAAUCACUGGGCGUAAAGGGCGCGUAGGCGGACUCUUAAGUCGGGGGUGAAAGCCCAGGGCUCAACCCUGGAAUUGCCUUCGAUACUGAGAGUCUUGAGUUCGGAAGAGGUUGGUGGAACUGCGAGUGUAGAGGUGAAAUUCGUAGAUAUUCGCAAGAACACCAGUGGCGAAGGCGGCCAACUGGUCCGAUACUGACGCUGAGGCGCGAAAGCGUGGGGAGCAAACAGG
RNAcentral lists this ribosomal RNA (404 nucleotides) under Actinomycetes bacterium. RNAcentral's name for it is "Actinobacteria bacterium partial 16S ribosomal RNA". It matches the Rfam family "Bacterial small subunit ribosomal RNA", at positions 355 to 776 of the family's 1533-position model. The record is from RNAcentral. Lineage: Bacteria; Bacillati; Actinomycetota; Actinomycetes.